ACCGGAUUGGUGUAGGGGUUAACAUUCGGGAUUCUCAUGUUCUAUGCGAAUUUCCUGAGCCAGGAGUUCGAGUCUCCUAUCCGGUG
Molecule: non-coding RNA, 86 nt
Organism: Xylaria bambusicola
Lineage: Eukaryota; Fungi; Ascomycota; Sordariomycetes; Xylariales; Xylariaceae
Source: the annotation of a RefSeq genome assembly